Molecule: long non-coding RNA, 565 nt
Filed under: Capsicum annuum
Lineage: Eukaryota; Viridiplantae; Streptophyta; Magnoliopsida; Solanales; Solanaceae
Description: long non-coding RNA (CANN_LNC004234)
Source: RNAcentral
UUUCUCUCUCAACAAAAUCAUCAGAAUUAAUGAAAUAAUUUUGCAUGCUUAAUGACAUCAAACUUGCAACAAAUAAUUUUUCCAAUCCAUCGACAUCAAUAUUCAAUAAUUCUUCAUGCCAUAAAUGCUUUAAAUUGCAAGAAGUAAUUCUUCCAUACUUGAAACUGUUGAUCCUCAAAAUAUGGUCCUCAUUUAUUUUAGGUAAGGGAGUCAAUUGAAUCCCUUAUUAAUCAUACCAUCGGCUCAUUAAAAUUGGUCUUUCUUUCUACUACAUAUACCAUCUAUAUAAACAAAUUGUUGAAGUAAUAUUGAAAUUUUGUCUCUCAGUUGUUCAUUGGUGAUGAAAAACAUCCUGGGCAAUUGCAAAUCUUUGUCAAUGUUAGCUGCUAAUUAUAGCUCAUGUCGUAGAGCUUGUUUGUCCCAGCUUGUCUCAAUUAACAAUUCAUUCAUGGCGAGACGCAAUUGCUAUAAUUUGCCAAUGUUGUCUUCUUUGUGUUCGACUUAUUCGAGUAGUACUACUUACUGUUCCUGUUCCUACUCCUACGGAAAGAAAAGGAGAAGGAGG